This 625-nucleotide ribosomal RNA is filed under the name Salmonella enterica. RNAcentral describes it as "bacterial SSU rRNA". It matches the Rfam family "Bacterial small subunit ribosomal RNA", at positions 1 to 615 of the family's 1533-position model. Lineage: Bacteria; Pseudomonadati; Pseudomonadota; Gammaproteobacteria; Enterobacterales; Enterobacteriaceae. The record is from RNAcentral.
AAAUUGAAGAGUUUGAUCAUGGCUCAGAUUGAACGCUGGCGGCAGGCCUAACACAUGCAAGUCGAACGGUAACAGGAAGCAGCUUGCUGCUUCGCUGACGAGUGGCGGACGGGUGAGUAAUGUCUGGGAAACUGCCUGAUGGAGGGGGAUAACUACUGGAAACGGUGGCUAAUACCGCAUAACGUCGCAAGACCAAAGAGGGGGACCUUCGGGCCUCUUGCCAUCAGAUGUGCCCAGAUGGGAUUAGCUUGUUGGUGAGGUAACGGCUCACCAAGGCGACGAUCCCUAGCUGGUCUGAGAGGAUGACCAGCCACACUGGAACUGAGACACGGUCCAGACUCCUACGGGAGGCAGCAGUGGGGAAUAUUGCACAAUGGGCGCAAGCCUGAUGCAGCCAUGCCGCGUGUAUGAAGAAGGCCUUCGGGUUGUAAAGUACUUUCAGCGGGGAGGAAGGUGUUGCGGUUAAUAACCGCAGCAAUUGACGUUACCCGCAGAAGAAGCACCGGCUAACUCCGUGCCAGCAGCCGCGGUAAUACGGAGGGUGCAAGCGUUAAUCGGAAUUACUGGGCGUAAAGCGCACGCAGGCGGUCUGUCAAGUCGGAUGUGAAAUCCCCGGGCUCAACCU